RNAcentral lists this long non-coding RNA (893 nucleotides) under Salmo salar (Atlantic salmon). RNAcentral describes it as "lncRNA (ENSSSAG00000108511.1)". The stretch from base 431 to 476 matches the Rfam family "Histone 3' UTR stem-loop". Lineage: Eukaryota; Metazoa; Chordata; Actinopteri; Salmoniformes; Salmonidae. The record is from RNAcentral.
AGUCAACAGUCGCUACAGUCCCAUUAGUUUUCUUUGCAGCCUCGUUUGAAUGUCGCGGUUGCGCACAUUUGUACGGAAUGGGAUACCUUGUAACUGGAGAUUCCUUCAAAACGAUUGCCUACAGUUAACGUGUAGGGCACUGCAAGGUUGUGUGACCAGGGCCAUCUGGGACUGCCUCCUGGAGGAAUUCAGGUGUGUGAAGGCUACCUGUGUCCUGCAUAACUUCAUGAGGAUGGACACGAGGACAAGGGGGGAUCUGCAGCUCGCCGCAGUGUGCCAGAGGAGAAGUCUGCUGCUCUGCAGGAUGUUUCAAGAAUGCGGUCCAACAACACAGCAAGAGAGGCAAUCCGUGUGCGGGAGAUCUUCACCUCCUACUUCUUUGAAGAGGGUGCUGUUCCAUUGGCAACACCAUAGACUACACUAUGCACAACCAAAGGCUCUUUUAAGAGCCAUUUACAUUGCAAUAAGAGUAUUCUUCCAUUUACUUAACUAUGUCAACUGCAGUUAUUCAAUUCACAGUUUCUCUCCCUUUGAUUUCUACUUCGCAGCAUAAAGUACUCUGCAGCCACUUAGUGUGUCCACCAGCUGUGUUGGUGAACCCCUCCCUCAUCUGAACUGGCUACAUAGAGGGCACAGCAUGAUCAGAGAUAUGUUUGAUGUGAGAGAGGAUGGCAUCCCCCAGUCCCAUCAUCCCCACCUCACCUGCUUUUAAGAUAACCUUUGGGCCGACGAGAGACACUAUAAUGCAAUUGUGAUGAACUGAGAGAAUAUUUGGGUAGCACUGUGAUUCAUUAAUCAUAUGCUGCCUUCCCUGCUCCUAUGUUUUACCUCUUUCUCUUUGUCUUUUACACCUCUCCCACCACUUGCUCUUCCUUCCUCUGUUUUUAUAAUGC